This 388-nucleotide unclassified non-coding RNA is filed under the name Senecio multicaulis. RNAcentral describes it as "partial external transcribed spacer". Lineage: Eukaryota; Viridiplantae; Streptophyta; Magnoliopsida; Asterales; Asteraceae. The record is from RNAcentral. RNAcentral also lists the same sequence under 1 other name.
AACUUCCACCUGGCUUACCUCCUCAGUUAUGCGUCAUGACUUGUAUCGUCUUGAGCGUAUUGUGGGUUUCCUGUGUUGCAUACCUAAUAAUGGAAUCGUUUUGGUUGAUUGAAGUCCCUUUUCAUCACGUGUUGCCUUUGCGACGCAUGAUGAACCUCGAAGCGGUCUCUAUGUUCCACCACGUUGAUGCUAGUGUCUUGAUGUUGUGGCCCAUUGAGUGUUGCUUGGUUUCGUGGAUACAGAACAUGAUUUGGGCAUAGGGUCACCUGUGACUCUUGUUUUGUCCUUUAUCAGUGUUCUCUAUAACGACGGUUCAUGCGCGCCUAGGCUCGUACCUGCGCGAUGUUCUUUGUCGAAGAGGAAUGCUACCUGGUUGAUCCUGCCAGUA